RNAcentral lists this ribosomal RNA (329 nucleotides) under uncultured eukaryote. Its description in RNAcentral is "partial 18S ribosomal RNA". It matches the Rfam family "Eukaryotic small subunit ribosomal RNA", at positions 1470 to 1796 of the family's 1831-position model. The record is from RNAcentral.
CCCUUAGAUGUUCUGGGCCGCACGCGCGCUACACUGAUGCAUUCAACGAGUCUAAAACCUGCUCUGAUAGGGGUGGGUAAUCUUUUGAAUGUGCAUCGUGAUUGGGAUAGAUGAUUGCAAUUUUUCAUCUUCAACGAGGAAUGCCUAGUAAACGCAAGUCAUCAGCUUGCAUUGAUUACGUCCCUGCCCUUUGUACUCACCGCCCGUCGCUCCUACCGAUUGAAUGAUCCGAUGAAUAUCAUGGAUUGAGGAUGCAAGUAGGUUCGCCUAUCUUCAUCUUCGAGAAGUGAAGUAAAUCUUAUCAUUUAGAGGAAGGAGAAGUCGUAACA